This 178-nucleotide non-coding RNA is filed under the name Desulfuromonadales bacterium. RNAcentral's name for it is "6S RNA". It matches the Rfam family "6S / SsrS RNA". Rfam says of the family: E. coli 6S RNA was the first non coding RNA to be sequenced, but its function was unknown until recently. Lineage: Bacteria; Pseudomonadati; Thermodesulfobacteriota; Desulfuromonadia; Desulfuromonadales. The record is from RNAcentral.
CUCUCUCUGUCCUGUUUGUCGGCUGUUGUGCCCGGGCGGAAUAAAUAAAGAACGGGAGACCUUUUCUACUGUGGUGAGCUGCCCCAUUGCGCGGGAAUUGCCUGAAGCAGUACAUGGUCGCCCACCUGUUAAGGAACUCGCCGGAGGUCCUUUAAGUUGACGGCAGGAUGGGGAGAGU